RNAcentral lists this ribosomal RNA (1343 nucleotides) under uncultured bacterium. RNAcentral describes it as "16S ribosomal RNA". It matches the Rfam family "Bacterial small subunit ribosomal RNA", at positions 28 to 1378 of the family's 1533-position model. The record is from RNAcentral.
GACGAACGCUGGCGGCGUGCUUAACACAUGCAAGUCGAACGGAAAGGCCCUGCUUUUGUGGGGUGCUCGAGUGGCGAACGGGUGAGUAACACGUGAGUAACCUGCCCUUGACUUUGGGAUAACUUCAGGAAACUGGGGCUAAUACCGGAUAGGAGCUCCUGCUGCAUGGUGGGGGUUGGAAAGUUUCGGCGGUUGGGGAUGGACUCGCGGCUUAUCAGCUUGUUGGUGGGGUAGUGGCUUACCAAGGCUUUGACGGGUAGCCGGCCUGAGAGGGUGACCGGCCACAUUGGGACUGAGAUACGGCCCAGACUCCUACGGGAGGCAACAGUGGGGAAUAUUGCACAAUGGGCGGAAGCCUGAUGCAGCAACGCCGCGUGCGGGAUGACGGCCUUCGGGUUGUAAACCGCUUUCGCCUGUGACGAAGCGUGAGUGACGGUAAUGGGUAAAGAAGCACCGGCUAACUACGUGCCAGCAGCCGCGGUGAUACGUAGGGUGCGAGCGUUGUCCGGAUUUAUUGGGCGUAAAGGGCUCGUAGGUGGUUGAUCGCGUCGGAAGUGUAAUCUUGGGGCUUAACCCUGAGCGUGCUUUCGAUACGGGUUGACUUGAGGAAGGUAGGGGAGAAUGGAAUUCCUGGUGGAGCGGUGGAAUGCGCAGAUAUCAGGAGGAACACCAGUGGCGAAGGCGGUUCUCUGGGCCUUUCCUGACGCUGAGGAGCGAAAGCGUGGGGAGCGAACAGGCUUAGAUACCCCGGUAGUCCACGCUGUAAACGGUGGGUACUAGGUGUGGGGUCCAUUCCACGGGUUCCGUGCCGUAGCUAACGCUUUAAGUACCCCGCCUGGGGAGUACGGCCGCAAGGCUAAAACUCAAAGGAAUUGACGGGGCCCCGCACAAGCGGCGGAGCAUGCGGAUUAAUUCGAUGCAACGCGUAGAACCUUACCUGGGUUUGACAUGGAUCGGGAGUGCUCAGAGAUGGGUGUGCCUCUUUUGGGGUCGGUUCACAGGUGGUGCAUGGCUGUCGUCAGCUCGUGUCGUGAGAUGUUGGGUUAAGUCCCGCAACGAACGCAACCCUUGUUCACUGUUGCCAGCACGUUAUGGUGGGGACUCAGUGGAGACCGCCGGGGUCAACUCGGAGGAAGGUGGGGAUGACGUCAAGUCAUCAUGCCCCUUAUGUCCAGGGCUUCACGCAUGCUACAAUGGCUGGUACAGAGAGUGGCGAGCCUGUGAGGGUGAGCGAAUCUCGGAAAGCCGGUCUCAGUUCGGAUUGGGGUCUGCAACUCGACCUCAUGAAGUCGGAGUCGCUAGUAAUCGCAGAUCAGCAACGCUGCGGUGAAUACGUUCCCGGG